AGCGAGAUGGCGCAGCUGGUAGCGCGCUGGGCUCAUAUAGGACUCGUCUUCUACGUCACCCAGAGGUCGUCGGAUCGAAACUGACUCUCGCUA
Molecule: transfer RNA, 93 nt
Filed under: Puccinia graminis f. sp. tritici
Lineage: Eukaryota; Fungi; Basidiomycota; Pucciniomycetes; Pucciniales; Pucciniaceae
Rfam family: tRNA
About the family: Transfer RNA (tRNA) molecules are approximately 80 nucleotides in length.
Source: Rfam by way of RNAcentral